Molecule: ribosomal RNA, 460 nt
Filed under: uncultured bacterium
Lineage: Bacteria
Description: partial 16S ribosomal RNA
Rfam family: Bacterial small subunit ribosomal RNA
Source: RNAcentral
CCUACGGGAGGCAGCAGUGAGGAAUAUUGGUCAAUGGGCGUAAGCCUGAACCAGCCAAGUCGCGUGAGGGAUGAAGGUUCUAUGGAUCGUAAACCUCUUUUAUAAGGGAAUAAAGUGCGGGACGUGUCCCGUUUUGUAUGUACCUUAUGAAUAAGGAUCGGCUAACUCUGGGCCAGCAGCCGCGGUAAUACGGAGGAUCCGAGCGUUAUCCGGAUUUAUUGGGUUUAAAGGGUGCGUAGGCGGCCUUUUAAGUCAGCGGGGAAAGUCUGUGGCUCAACCAUGGAAUUGCCGUUGAAACUGGGAGGAUGGAGUAUGGUUGAGGCAGGCGGAAGGCGUGGUGUAGCGGUGAAAUGCGUAGAUAUCACGAAGAACCACGAUUGCGAAGGCAGCUUGCCAAGCGGUGACUGAAGCUGAUGCACGAAAGCGUGGGGAGCAAACAGGAUUAGAUACCCGUGUAGUC